UGCACACACACCUCAUUCACACGUGUCACACACACUGACGAUCACACACAACAAGCGUUUCUCAUUAGGAUCCAUAUGGAGUUUAGAGAUCUACUGGAGGAGUUCAACAGAUUACAGGAUCAAGUUGAAGAGAUGAGGAGAGAAAUUCUGAUUAGGAACAGCAAAUCCACCUCGGACGACCAGCUACACCAGAUGGAACAACAGCAGCGAGAGCACUUGGCAAUCCGUUGCUCUAGUUUGAUUGAGAAGGGUGAAGCAUAUGAAAAAACCCAGGAGGGCAUCCUGAGGCGCAUCUGCGGCCCAGACGAGUCCCUGCCGGAGACGAAGGGCUUCCCCAACCUUGAUUACAUCAAGCCUUCUCCACCUGUGGAGAAACCCAACCGAGGGUGUAGAGUUAGAAGGAACGUUGGUACUCCAAAAAUGGCCUCGAGGUUCGAAAGGUUCCCCUCGAGGCAUAAAGGUCGAAGCGGAUUUGAAAUGGAGAUGACAGCCAUGCAGGCUCACGUACAGGAAGAGGCAGAGAUAGCGGCCUACAACGCCAGAGAGAUUAGCCGUACUGUCCGCUGUACCCUGAGCUCCCCCAGAGGUAUCUGUUCACCUGUGGACACGUCCACGCCUACGGAGCUCCGCUUUCUGCCGCUUUCUGCCAUCAGGACGCCAGCGCCAUCCACGCCUGCAUCUCCGGUUAUUAAAAGCAGACCCAAUCGUAGCCGUAUUCCCAGGCUGCAGGUUUUGACGGAGAUAACCAAAGCGAGGAGGAAUGGGGACAACAGUGCACCAGUGAACUGGAACGAGAUCGCCAGUCGUAUGAGUGCACUGACCAAGAAAUGGGAUGUACCUCUUCGAUCUGCGGAUAGCAUGCUAAAGGACCGUGCUACACAGAGAGAGAUGGCUGCCCGAAAACCAGCUGCAGGUCCACCGAAACGGAGCCAGGAUGAUCGGCUUGAUCCAGCUGAGAAGCCGACUCCUUUGGAUGGGUCUUUGCAGAAAAAACAAGGUAGGGUAAAACAUGUAGCCAAUGUCUCUACCCAUAAAGUCAAUGCAGGUAGAGACGGCGACGAGGCCGAGGACGCAGCGGGCUCAAACGGAAGGAGAGAGACAUCUAUGGACCUGGACCUGGUCAGUGAGAAGCCACUAGACAGACCUGAGGUGGCACUUAACCAGGUGUUUCAGCUGCUGGAGCUCGAGGACUGGGAAAGAAAGAUCGAGGGGCUGAAAGUGGUGCGCGCUCUGGCUGAGCAUCACUCCAACGUCAUACUGCCCAGACUACAUGAGGUCUGCCUGUGUGUCAUACAGGAGGUAAAGAACCUGCGCUCCAUGGUGUCACGCGCGGCUAUGACCACUCUGGCCCACCUGUACGCCCACCUGCAGAGGGCAAUGGACCCAGAAUUGGAUGGCACGGCUCUCGUCCUGUUACACAAAGCUGGAGAGUCGAGUCAAUUUGUCAAAGAGGAUGCAGACAUGGCUCUCAACGCCAUGGUCAUCGGCUGCUCGCCUGCUCGCGUCCUCAACGCUCUGCUGGCCGGAGGACUCAACCACCGAAACGCAGCAGUGAGAAGAUGCAUGGCGCUCCACCUGGAUAAGUUUGCUGAGGUUGUGGGGGCUUCACGUCUGCUAAAUGGAAAACAGGCCCUAACUGGACGACUUCUGUCCACUGUAAGCCAGCUGGCUCAGGAUGCAGCACAGGAAGUGAGGUUCCAUGCCCAACAUGCCAUCAGAUUUCUGGCAACCCACAGCAACUUUAUGAAGAUGGUGGAAAAGUUUGUGCCAACAAAGGACUGGGCAUCUCUUAAAAACAUCAUAGCCAAGGCCAGGUAAAAUAAAGUGAAGAAAUAAAAGUCAGCAUGAGUCAACAAGACGCCUCGGCCAAUGAGACAGACUACAGACUACAUAACAACAUGAGCUCCAAACUUUACAUCAUUUCUAUCACCAAGAAAGCCCAGCAGCGUCUCUACUUUUUGAGAAGACUCAGGAAAGCUCAUCUGCCACCCCCCAUUCUCACCACGUUCUACAGAGGAACAAUCGAGAGCAUCCUGAGCGGCUGCAUCACUGUCUGGUUCGGAAAUUGUACUGCGUCGGACCGCAGGACUCUCCAGCGAGUAGUGAGGACAGCUGAAAAGAUCAUCGGGGUCGCUCUUCCAUCUCUCAUGGACAUUUUUAACACCCGCUGCAUCCGCAAAGCUCUCAGCAUUGUGGACGAUCCAACCCAUCCAUCACAUGGACUUUUUACUCUGCUCCCGUCUGGGAGACGAUACCGCAGCAUCCGGACUAACACAACCAGACUGUGUAACAGUUUUAUCCCACAAGCAAUCAGACUCCUCAAUUCAGUACUGUAACAAUUUCCUCCGGAAAUUUUCUGCUGCCACACACUGAACUGUAUUGACUAUGUUACUUGCAUUUUUUGCACACCUCCUGGAACUGCACAAGUAAUUUCUGCACCUUACUUGUAUUUUUGCACCUUAUUUACUUUUUAGGCACCUUAUCGGCAUUGCCAAUUUUACGCUGCUAAUGUACAACAUGUCACUACCUCAUGAACCAUUGUACCAUCUAUUCACCAUCAUGUACUAACACUUGUCUUUAGUCCUGUCUUCUAAUUACUUGUUUAGAUUAGGGAUAAUUAGGAAUAUCUUUUGUA
Trichomycterus rosablanca is the source of this 2635-nucleotide RNA transcript. RefSeq lists it as uncharacterized. Lineage: Eukaryota; Metazoa; Chordata; Actinopteri; Siluriformes; Trichomycteridae. The record is from RefSeq and is a predicted model, not a curated record. The transcript is spliced from 9 exons.